AUUAACGCUAGCGGCAGGCAUAAUACAUGCAAGUUGAACGGCAGCACAGGUAGCAAUACCGGGUGGCGAGUGGCGCACGGGUGCGUAACACGUAUGCAACCUACCCUAUACAGGCGAAUAACCUUUAGAAAUGAGGGCUAAUACGCCGUAGUAUUAUCUUGGGGCAUCUUGAGAUAAUUAAAGAUUCAUCGGUAUAGGAUGGGCAUGCGUCCCAUUAGUUAGUUGGUAGGGUAACGGCCUACCAAGGCUAUGAUGGGUAGGGG
Molecule: ribosomal RNA, 263 nt
Filed under: uncultured bacterium
Lineage: Bacteria
Description: partial 16S ribosomal RNA
Rfam family: Bacterial small subunit ribosomal RNA
Source: RNAcentral